Molecule: long non-coding RNA, 208 nt
Filed under: Mytilus galloprovincialis (Mediterranean mussel)
Lineage: Eukaryota; Metazoa; Mollusca; Bivalvia; Mytilida; Mytilidae
Source: RNAcentral
UUUGGUUUUCUUGUUAUAUUUGUUAUUUUCGUGGUGUUUUGUCUGAUGCUUGGUCCGUUUCUGUGUGUGUUACGUUUCGGUGUUAUGUUGUUGUUCUCCUCUUAUAUUUAAUGCAUUUCCCUCGGUUUUAGUUUGUUACCCCGAUUUUGUUUUUUGUCCCUGGAUUUAUGAGUUUUGAACAGCGGUAUACUACUGUUGCCUUUAUUUA